RNAcentral lists this ribosomal RNA (253 nucleotides) under uncultured bacterium. Its description in RNAcentral is "partial 16S ribosomal RNA". It matches the Rfam family "Bacterial small subunit ribosomal RNA", at positions 524 to 776 of the family's 1533-position model. The record is from RNAcentral.
UACGUAGGGUCCGAGCGUUGUCCGGAAUUAUUGGGCGUAAAGGGCUCGUAGGCGGUUUGUCGCGUCGGGAGUGAAAACACGGGGCUUAACCCCGUGCCUGCUUCCGAUACGGGCAGACUAGAGGUAUGCAGGGGAGAACGGAAUUCCUGGUGUAGCGGUGAAAUGCGCAGAUAUCAGGAGGAACACCGGUGGCGAAGGCGGUUGUCUGGGCAUUACCUGACGCUGAGGAGCGAAAGUGUGGGGAGCGAACAGG